This 654-nucleotide long non-coding RNA is filed under the name Homo sapiens (human). Its description in RNAcentral is "HSALNT0379610". The record is from RNAcentral. Lineage: Eukaryota; Metazoa; Chordata; Mammalia; Primates; Hominidae.
AGCUAGUUAAUCCUCCCUUCCUUGCCACAGUGCCUGGUGCAAACCUCUUUUCUUUAUAAAUUACCAGAUUCAUGUUUUUUUUUUUUUCUAGUAACACAAAUAGACUAACUCAGAACAUUGGUAUUGAGGAGUGGAACAUUGCUAUAAGGAUACCUGAAAAUGUGGAAGCAGCUUUGGAAUCAGGGAUCUGUGGAAGUUUGACCUUAAGAGUGAUGACUUAGGGCAUCUGUGGAAGACAUUUCUAAGCAGAUGUUUCUAAGGUGUGACCUGGUUGCUUCUAACAGUCUAUGGCAACUCCGACGGCAUUUUCCAGCCACCGCAGCCACCGCAGCCACUGCAGUAACAAGACCCUGUCCUUGACUGAGUUCCAGCCAGGCUCCUCGGAGCCUCUCCACUCGGCCUCAACCUUGGCUUGUAAAGACUUGAGCAGACACUAACAGUUUCUAACAGCUUCUGGCCGUACCCCUAGGCCGACCCCUGCCCCGUCAACACCUGCCUGAGAAAGCUCCGUGCACCAGAACUCACCGUUUGGACCAACCCCGACCUCCCUUUCUCAGGGUGUCUGCUGAGAGGGCCGCAACCACACGUCCUUCUAUCCGUUCCCGAUGUCUGUGCAUUUCCUGUGACCCAGGAGGGUCUUUCUCAAGACUUGAG